CAACUUGAGAGUUUGAUCCUGGCUCAGAACGAACGCUGGCGGCAGGCUUAACACAUGCAAGUCGAGCGCAUCGCAAGAUGAGCGGCAGACGGGUGAGUAACGCGUGGGAAUCUACCGUGCCCUACGGAAUAGCUCCGGGAAACUGGAAUUAAUACCGUAUACGCCCUUCGGGGGAAAGAUUUAUCGGGGUAUGAUGAGCCCGCGUUGGAUUAGCUAGUUGGUGGGGUAAAGGCCUACCAAGGCGACGAUCCAUAGCUGGUCUGAGAGGAUGAUCAGCCACAUUGGGACUGAGACACGGCCCAAACUCCUACGGGAGGCAGCAGUGGGGAAUAUUGGACAAU
Molecule: ribosomal RNA, 341 nt
Filed under: Hyphomicrobiales bacterium
Lineage: Bacteria; Pseudomonadati; Pseudomonadota; Alphaproteobacteria; Hyphomicrobiales
Description: bacterial SSU rRNA
Rfam family: Bacterial small subunit ribosomal RNA
Source: RNAcentral